GCUCCUGAAUGGUGUAACCCCACUGGUUCUGAGAGUGGUGUGGAUCCCAGUAUCCUGUCUGUCUCUUCAACCUGAUGAAUCGCUUCGCCUCCUCCUCCUUUGCGAACGGGGCGGCAAACACCCCUGAACACAACGGUUUUUACCACCGACCAGCCACAGAGGAGUGAAUGGCUUCAAGCAUCAGGCCAGACGCUCAAGAUCUAACUUGACCUUUCCAGUUGCGAAGGAUGACCCUGGCAGCUGGGUUAGAGCAAAUGCUGGUUUGGGGAUGUUGGGUAGACAUGACGUGUCCCCCAUGAGGCAAAGUUGAACUGAUUCAGGAACAGGCACACCCAGCCACUCUUGUAUUGUUUUGUCUCUCUACAGAAAGGCAGAACUUAAGGACAGGCCCACAUUACCUGGAUAAAGGUGCCUUCCUGCCUUUUACAUUUCCAGCAUAGAUUAUUUUCUAGUAAACCAAUUUUAUGAAGACGGACAGGUGUAGAAUAAUAUCGAUAAAUUGUCUUGUAAAGCAGCAUGCACUGGAAAUUAUCCUUG
Non-coding RNA from Epinephelus lanceolatus (giant grouper), 537 nucleotides. Lineage: Eukaryota; Metazoa; Chordata; Actinopteri; Perciformes; Serranidae. The record is from RefSeq and is a predicted model, not a curated record.